RNAcentral lists this ribosomal RNA (304 nucleotides) under uncultured bacterium. RNAcentral describes it as "partial 16S ribosomal RNA". It matches the Rfam family "Bacterial small subunit ribosomal RNA", at positions 506 to 807 of the family's 1533-position model. The record is from RNAcentral.
CAGCAGUCGCCACGGGAAUACGUAGGUGGCAAGCGUUGUCCGGAAUUAUUGGGCGUAAAGGGCUCGCAGGCGGUUUCUUAAGUCUGAUGUGAAAGCCCCCGGCUCAACCGGGGAGGGUUAUUGGAAACUGGGAAACUUGAGUGCAGAAGAGGAGAGUGGAAUUCCACGUGUAGCGGUGAAAUGCGUAGAGAUGUGGAGGAACACCAGUGGCGAAGGCGACUCUCUGGUCUGUAACUGACGCUGAGGAGCGAAAGCGUGGGGAGCGAACAGGAUUAGAUACCCCUGUAGUCCCUGUCUCUUAUAC